AGAGUGGAGUUAGAGCCAAGAAUGACUUGCCGACUUGGCCAUGAGAAUGCUCAAAAACGACGGGUUGCCUGCCGGUCGGCAAGUCGUUCUAGCUCUUCUUUGCUCUCU
RNAcentral lists this microRNA precursor (108 nucleotides) under Manihot esculenta (cassava). Lineage: Eukaryota; Viridiplantae; Streptophyta; Magnoliopsida; Malpighiales; Euphorbiaceae. The record is from RNAcentral.